Molecule: long non-coding RNA, 357 nt
Organism: Rhincodon typus (whale shark)
Lineage: Eukaryota; Metazoa; Chordata; Chondrichthyes; Orectolobiformes; Rhincodontidae
Exons: 2
Source: RefSeq, a predicted model, not a curated record
UUAGGAAUGAAAUCUUACUAUUGCACUUGGUUGGAUAAAAUUACCAAAAUGUACACUGAAAGAAAUGUUUGUUGAUCGAAUGAUGUCUUGAGGUUGUGAUCUAAAACAAGUACAAUUGUUUGAACCUCCUUCCAUUAACAUUUCAACGGGUGUUAUCACCUGAUUUAGAAAAUGACUGCGACAAACUAUGAACAAAAAUUAUGCAAAAAGUGACUUGAAUUGAAUGAUCUUUCAACAUUUUCACAUAAUCAGCCGCGAUGUUGCCAACGCUUGCAUAGUCCCUUGAUAUAUGAAAGUUACUUCAUGCUCGUGAUUCACAUUGGGAGUUCAAACCUGAAUAAAUCAAUGUUUAGAGUC